CAGUAGCCGCGGUAAUACAGAGGGUGCGAGCGUUAAUCGGAUUUACUGGGCGUAAAGCGUGCGUAGGCGGCUAAUUGAGUCGGAUGUGAAAUCCCCGAGCUUAACUUGGGAAUUGCAUUCGAUACUGGUUAGCUAGAGUGUGGGAGAGGAUGGUAGAAUUCCAGGUGUAGCGGUGAAAUGCGUAGAGAUCUGGAGGAAUACUGAUGGCGAAGGCAGCCAUCUGGCCUAACACUGACGCUGAGGUACGAAAGCAUGGGGAGCAAACAGGAUUAGAUACCCCCGUAGUCCCUGUCUCUUAUAC
RNAcentral lists this ribosomal RNA (301 nucleotides) under uncultured bacterium. RNAcentral's name for it is "partial 16S ribosomal RNA". It matches the Rfam family "Bacterial small subunit ribosomal RNA", at positions 509 to 807 of the family's 1533-position model. The record is from RNAcentral.